CUGCAGCUGAUGCAUAGUUCACACACCCUAGUCUCUGUAAGUAACCUUGGAUAAAGGCGUCUGCUAAAUAAACAAAUAAUACUGCUAUUUAAUGUGCAGUUGCGCUUACUACUAGUUUGAUUGACGAGUACCGCCCAUGUGACUGCGUUUGUUUUCGUAUGGUGAUGGCUUCUUGUCUGAGCUCUGCUGCUGACUAGCUGCCUGGGAGAAACAACAUGGAAAAGGAGAGCUACCCCAAACAAACCCGCCACAGAAGAAAGAGAAAGUGAAAACCAAAGAGUGGAGAAGGGAAAUAAAUCCUCACGCUGACUGGGAAUGCUGUUUUUAUACCACCUGCCAGAGGACAUUCUCUACCUCGUCCUCUAUCUGGACUGCCAGACUGAACAGUUUGUCCCAAGUGUGCAAGAACCUGUACAACUUCACCAGCAGGGACGAUGUUUGGAAGAGGAUGAGGAACUCCACAAGGGAGAGUCAUAUUUCCUAGGAUCCCUCUAAAGGACAGGGUGAAGAUAUCUCAGAACUGGUGCAGAGGAUGUUGCAGGAAGGAAGCUGUCCUCAAAUGGAAGAACAACUUGUUGCCAUGGAUACAGUUAGAUGGCGGUGUUCUGUAGCUGUCUCAGGCAGCAGACAUCAGAUCGUACCAACUGAGACCAGAUGGCGGGGGGCUCCAGCGGAAGCCUGUGGCUGUGUACUCUGGGCAGAGAGAAGAUGUGUUUCAUCAUGACAGAGUCUCACCUGAUCAGUGCAGGAGUGUACGAGACGGGAAGAUCAUUCUGCACCAGAAACAGGGCUCGUUCAGCAUGGAGUACUCUACUCACAACCAGGAGGUGAAGUGCAUUGACAGCAAGGGAGGGGUCAUUGUCAGCAGUUCAAAGGACAAGAUAGCGCGGCUGUGGUCCCUGUCUUCCACCAGACAAGGCGAGUGUUUGCAUACAAUCCCGACUCUUGAUUUUGGUCACUGGCCAUUAGUCCCUCGCAAAGGUAGAGAAGUUGUCUUUUGCGUGUGUUCAUCUUUGUCAUUGGCUCAUUAAUACACCGCCAACCUGAAAGGCCAACUCUCUCUGUAAAGUACAGACCUGUUUCAGAAUUCUGUUUGUAACAACUAGGCCAGGUUUGUGAGGUUUUGCUUUUACUAUUGUUGGUCAAGAAAAGUUUUACUAUUUAUGUGGUAGUGCAUUUUUUUUGUCAAGCCUAAAUGUAUACUUUCUUUUUAUUUUAAUCUGUUCUUAACCCAUAUGUACAUCUAAAGCUGUUUAAUUUCCACCAGGGUUGAGGUUAAUUCCUGUUAUUCAUCUCCAAUUCCUUUUUAAAAUCAAUUCCCAAUUCCUAUUCCUUCGAAGGAAUUGGAAUUGAUAUUUUAGAGACAUAAUAACUGUUGUGAUUGUUCAGCUGCUUUCGUUUGAAGCCAGUUUAAUUGACUAACAAUGUCUUAAAUUAAAGUAAUUUGUUGCCACUGUGAGAAGCUCAUUUUAACAGAAUGCUGCUAAUUGCAAUUGUAAUCAGUGCUGUGUUGGAAUGCAUUAAAAGGGAAUGGGAAUGGGAAUUGGGAAAUAUGAAUUGACCCCAAUCCUGAUUUCCAGCACAUUGUACUAUGAAUGAGCAUUUCAUUUGAUUUACUAUUUAAUGUCCAAUAUCCAUACAUGAACAAGGGAUAACAUACAGCUAAAUGUGGUCUGCGAAAAAUCUGAUUUAUAAAUACCUAUAUAAGGAUACCGGUUUUAAGAUCCACCCCUGUUUAGAUCAAUUAAAAACAACCCCCUCUAAUCAUAGCAUGAAAUAGUAACGAGAUUAAAAAAAAAAAAAAAAAAAAAAAAAAGUAAAUUAAAUAGGAAAGUUGUAAGCCGUGUGUUUUUUUGUUUCAGAUUUUAACUGUGAUGUGAAAUCUUGCCACUCUGGUAUUUUAACCAGUCGUAUUUUAGUGGAAGAUGAUGUUACUAGUAUAAUAAACUUUCAAACUGAGCGAACAGUGGCAUCUAGUGGAUUCAUGAAAUGACAUUAACACGGCAUAUUCUCUGCCUCUCUCCCACCACAGGUAAUGGCUGCACAUCAGGUUGACUAGCAUCUAGAGAAAAAAGAAAAUACAGUUGACAAAAUAAGCACUAGUAAAUGGAGCAUGUGAGGUGAAAGCAUUGGAAUGUAUUUUAUAACACUGCUACAGUAGUAGACACGUUCUCAGUCACGUUCUCUCCGACGCUCAGAUCAAUAUUUGCUUGUUAUCUCCCACAAAAUGAG
This is a long non-coding RNA of Acipenser ruthenus (sterlet), 2232 nucleotides long. RefSeq lists it as uncharacterized. Lineage: Eukaryota; Metazoa; Chordata; Actinopteri; Acipenseriformes; Acipenseridae. The transcript is spliced from 5 exons. The record is from RefSeq and is a predicted model, not a curated record.